AUGAAACAAGGAGUUGAGCCUCCUUCUCCUUCUCUCCCCUCCUCUCCUCCUCCCCCUUCUCUCUCCUCCUCCCCCCUCUCUCUCUCCUUCUCCUCCUCCUCCUCCUCCUCCUCCUCCUCCUCUUCUCUCCCCUGUGAUUGGUUCCUUUUUGUUUGUCUCAGGGAAACCAUCCUAAUCCAGAUUUCUUUAAAGACGUCCUCCCAUUGGUCGUUCCAGAGGUCCAGCAGCAGAGGAACGAGGAGGUGGCAGCCCCCCCCCUUACGGACGUCAACAGAUCGACGGCCCCGCCCCCCAAACCCAUCAGCCCCCCCCCCCCGACCCCCACCCAGCCCCCGCUCCCUGCCCCCGUCCAGAAACCCCCCCCCCCCCCCCACUGGGCACCCCCCGUCCUCCCUGGAUUUCGAUCAAUCUCCCUACACCACCCCCCCUUCUUCCCCCCGCACCUCCCCCCCCCCCCCCCCCCCCCCAGCCCAACUCACCUCCCUCCGCCCCCACCGGGACCUCCCCCGUGAGCCCCACCGCCCCUCGGCCCUCCACCGCCCUGCCCCCCAAGCCCGCCCCCAGGCGUCUCUCCCGGCCUCCGCCGGGACCGGAACCCCCCGCAGCUACCCCACCGUCUCCCCUCCCCUCAGACGACGGGUGUCACUUGUGUGGCGUCGUUCCCACGGUAACCUGUGCGUCGUGCUCCCCCCUGCUCUUCUGCGACGUGUGCGAUGGAAUCUUCCACCGCAACCCAGCGAGAGCCAAUCACAAGAGAGAGCCGAUUCCACCCGCCAAAAAGGGUGUGUGAUGACAAUUUCGAAAAAAAACACUGUUUUAUUUCAUUCAAGAGUUAAAAAGAAUACAAAUAUCAAUGAGUUCAUAGGGUCAAAGUGUCAUCUAAACGUUAACCUUUUUGAUUGGGGUUAACCGGUCACAAGAGAACAGGGAUUCCCUUAGGCAUUCUUCUGCUUGAUGAGAACACAGGAAACUCUGUGUCUUGAGGAGAGAGAGAGAGAGAGAGAGAGAGAGAGAGAGAGAGAGAGAGAGAGAGAGAGAGAGAGAGAGAGAGAGAGAGAGAGAGAGAGAGAGAGAGAGAGAGAGAGAGAGAGAGAGGCAGAGGGAGAGGCAGAGGGAGGGAGAGAGGCAGAGAGAGAGAGAGAGAGAGAGAGAGAGAGAGAGAGAGAGAGAGAGAGAGAGAGAGAGAGAGAGAGAGAGAGAGAGAGAGAGAGAGAGAGAGAGAGAGAGAGAGAGAGAGGGAGGGAGGGAGGGAGGGAGGGAGGGAGAGAGGAUAAGUUCUGAGCUUGUGGUCCCCCUCCAGAAGAACCUUUAUUGAUAUGGCCGUGGUCUGACAGGACGUCUGGAAGCCUUUGUUUGUC
RNAcentral lists this long non-coding RNA (1358 nucleotides) under Gadus morhua (Atlantic cod). RNAcentral describes it as "lncRNA (ENSGMOG00000023892.1)". The record is from RNAcentral. Lineage: Eukaryota; Metazoa; Chordata; Actinopteri; Gadiformes; Gadidae.